RNAcentral lists this ribosomal RNA (497 nucleotides) under uncultured bacterium. RNAcentral's name for it is "partial 16S ribosomal RNA". It matches the Rfam family "Bacterial small subunit ribosomal RNA", at positions 29 to 507 of the family's 1533-position model. The record is from RNAcentral.
AGCGAACGCUGGCGGCGUGCCUAACACAUGCAAGUCGAACGUGAAAAGGGAAACCUGAGUAAAGUGGCGUACGGGUGAGUAACGCGUAGGUAAUCUACCCCAGAAUCUGGAAUAACCUGCCGAAAGGCGGGCUAAUACUGGAUAGAGCGAGGGAACUCGUAAGAGAGUUUUUCGGGAAAGGGAGCCCGCAAGGGCCUUCGUUCUGGGAUGAGCCUGCGUCUCAUUAGCUAGUUGGUAAGGUAACGGCUUACCAAGGCGAUGAUGAGUAGCUGGUCUGAGAGGAUGAUCAGCCACACUGGAACUGAAACACGGUCCAGACUCCUACGGGAGGCAGCAGUGGGGAAUCUUGCGCAAAGGACGAAAGUCUGACGCAGCCACGCCGCGUGAGUGAAGAAGGCCUUCGGGUUGUAAAGCUCUGUCGGAUGGACGAACAUCUUCAUAGUGAAUAGCUAUGAGGACUGACGGUACCAUCAAAGGAAGCACCGGCUAACUCCGUG